This 681-nucleotide ribosomal RNA is filed under the name Tsukamurella sp. YIM 48834. RNAcentral describes it as "bacterial SSU rRNA". It matches the Rfam family "Bacterial small subunit ribosomal RNA", at positions 63 to 762 of the family's 1533-position model. The record is from RNAcentral. Lineage: Bacteria; Bacillati; Actinomycetota; Actinomycetes; Mycobacteriales; Tsukamurellaceae.
CGAACGGAAGGCCCUUCGGGGGACACGAGUGGCGAACGGGUGAGUAACACGUGGGUGACCUGCCCUGUACUUCGGGAUAAGCCUGGGAAACUGGGUCUAAUACCGGAUAUGACCUUCUCCUGCAUGGGGGAUGGUGGAAAGCUUUUGCGGUACAGGAUGGGCCCGCGGCCUAUCAGCUUGUUGGUGGGGUAAUGGCCUACCAAGGCGACGACGGGUAGCCGGCCUGAGAGGGCGACCGGCCACACUGGGACUGAGACACGGCCCAGACUCCUACGGGAGGCAGCAGUGGGGAAUAUUGCACAAUGGGCGCAAGCCUGAUGCAGCGACGCCGCGUGAGGGAUGACGGCCUUCGGGUUGUAAACCUCUUUCAGUAGGGACGAAGCGCAAGUGACGGUACCUACAGAAGAAGCACCGGCCAACUACGUGCCAGCAGCCGCGGUAAUACGUAGGGUGCAAGCGUUGUCCGGAAUUACUGGGCGUAAAGAGCUCGUAGGCGGUUUGUCACGUCGUCUGUGAAAUCCCGAGGCUUAACCUCGGGCCUGCAGGCGAUACGGGCAGACUUGAGUACUGUAGGGGAGACUGGAAUUCCUGGUGUAGCGGUGGAAUGCGCAGAUAUCAGGAGGAACACCGGUGGCGAAGGCGGGUCUCUGGGCAGUAACUGACGCUGAGGAGCGAAAGCGU